GCCGGUAUAGCUCAGUGGUAGAGCAACGCUUUCGUAAAGCGUGGGUCGUCCGUUCAAAUCGGACUACCGGCU
RNAcentral lists this transfer RNA (72 nucleotides) under Candidatus Portnoybacteria bacterium CG10_big_fil_rev_8_21_14_0_10_38_18. RNAcentral's name for it is "tRNA-Thr". It matches the Rfam family "tRNA". Rfam says of the family: Transfer RNA (tRNA) molecules are approximately 80 nucleotides in length. Their secondary structure includes four short double-helical elements and three loops (D, anti-codon, and T loops). The record is from RNAcentral. Lineage: Bacteria; Candidatus Portnoyibacteriota.